RNAcentral lists this ribosomal RNA (253 nucleotides) under uncultured bacterium. RNAcentral describes it as "partial 16S ribosomal RNA". It matches the Rfam family "Bacterial small subunit ribosomal RNA", at positions 524 to 776 of the family's 1533-position model. The record is from RNAcentral.
UACGUAGGGGGCAAGCGUUGUCCGGAAUCCUUGGGCGUAAAGAGCGUGUAGGCGGCUCGAUAAGUCCGCUGUGAAAGUCCAGGGCUCAACCCUGGAAGGCCGGUGGAAACUGUCGGGCUAGAGUCCGGAAGAGGCGAGUGGAAUUCCCGGUGUAGCGGUGAAAUGCGCAGAUAUCGGGAGGAACACCAUUGGCGAAGGCAGCUCGCUGGGACGGUACUGACGCUGAGACGCGAAAGCGUGGGGAGCAAACAGG